AAUUGCUGGAUGGAUGAUAAGAGUAUGUAGUUUUAUAAGAAACUGUCAAACUGUCUUCAAAAGUAUCUGUACCAUUUGCAAUCCCACUAGCAAU
This 94-nucleotide microRNA precursor is filed under the name Pteropus vampyrus (large flying fox). Its description in RNAcentral is "miRNA (ENSPVAG00000024836.1)". Lineage: Eukaryota; Metazoa; Chordata; Mammalia; Chiroptera; Pteropodidae. The record is from RNAcentral.